CUGAUAAAUGGAAGCUAUGAUAUGCUAUUAGAAAUUUGGGCACCUAUUAAUAGCAUGGAGCAAGUGGUGCAACCGACCAUUGAACUU
Molecule: non-coding RNA, 87 nt
Filed under: Gracilibacter sp.
Lineage: Bacteria; Bacillati; Bacillota; Clostridia; Eubacteriales; Gracilibacteraceae
Description: c-di-GMP-II sequence
Rfam family: Cyclic di-GMP-II riboswitch aptamer
Source: RNAcentral